GGGAAACAUCAUAGGUGAGAUAUCAUCUCAAGUUGAUGUUGCCUGUGAACCUGUUUCUGAACAUGAAGAAGUUAAGGAAGAAACCUCUGUGGAGACUGAUGAGUCCAUUAGACAAGGGAAUGGCUAUCGGAAGAAGGUUUUUGAUUUAAGAGAAAUAGUCAACUUGCGGAACAGAUCAAUAGGGAAAUUAGAUUGGAGAAAUUGGACACCG
Molecule: unclassified non-coding RNA, 211 nt
Filed under: Hevea brasiliensis (rubber tree)
Lineage: Eukaryota; Viridiplantae; Streptophyta; Magnoliopsida; Malpighiales; Euphorbiaceae
Source: RNAcentral